RNAcentral lists this ribosomal RNA (483 nucleotides) under uncultured bacterium. RNAcentral describes it as "partial 16S ribosomal RNA". It matches the Rfam family "Bacterial small subunit ribosomal RNA", at positions 28 to 506 of the family's 1533-position model. The record is from RNAcentral.
AUUGAACGCUGGCGGCAUGCUUUACACAUGCAAGUCGAACGGCAGCGCGGGCUUCGGCCUGGCGGCGAGUGGCGAACGGGUGAGUAAUGCAUCGGAACGUGCCCAGUAGUGGGGGAUAGCCCGGCGAAAGCCGGAUUAAUACCGCAUACGACCUGAGGGUGAAAGCGGGGGAUCGAAAGGCCUCGCGCUAUUGGAGCGGCCGAUGUCGGAUUAGCUAGUUGGUGGGGUAAAGGCUUACCAAGGCGACGAUCCGUAGCUGGUCUGAGAGGACGACCAGCCACACUGGGACUGAGACACGGCCCAGACUCCUACGGGAGGCAGCAGUGGGGAAUUUUGGACAAUGGGGGCAACCCUGAUCCAGCCAUGCCGCGUGCGGGAAGAAGGCCUUCGGGUUGUAAACCGCUUUUGUUCGGGAAGAAAUCCUCUGGGCUAAUACCCCGGGGGGAUGACGGUACCGGAAGAAUAAGCACCGGCUAACUACGU